AGACCCGAAACCCGGUGAUCUAGCCAUGGGCAGGUUGAAGGUUGGGUAACACUAACUGGAGGACCGAACCGACUAAUGUUGAAAAAUUAGCGGAUGACCUGUGGCUGGGGGUGAAAGGCCAAUCAAACCGGGAGAUAGCUGGUUCUCCCCGAAAGCUAUUUAGGUAGCGCCUCGUGAAUUCAUCUCCGGGGGUAGAGCACUGUUUCGGCUAGGGGGCCAUCCCGGCUUACCAACCCGAUGCAAACUGCGAAUACCGGAGAAUGUUAUCACGGGAGACACACGGCGGGUGCUAACGUCCGUCGUGAAGAGGGAAACAACCCAGACCGCCAGCUAAGGUCCCAAAGUCAUGGUUAAGUGGGAAACGAUGUGGGAAGGCCCAGACAGCCAGGAUGUUGGCUUAGAAGCAGCCAUCAUUUAAAGAAAGCGUAAUAGCUCACUGGUCGAGUCGGCCUGCGCGGAAGAUGUAACGGGGCUAAACCAUGCACCGAAGCUGCGGCAGCGAACGUAUCACCCAAGACAACUUUACGGAGUUGACGAUUGACGGAGCGAAGCGAC
RNAcentral lists this ribosomal RNA (555 nucleotides) under Salmonella enterica. Its description in RNAcentral is "bacterial LSU rRNA". It matches the Rfam family "Bacterial large subunit ribosomal RNA", at positions 711 to 1222 of the family's 2925-position model. The record is from RNAcentral. RNAcentral also lists the same sequence under 3 other names. Lineage: Bacteria; Pseudomonadati; Pseudomonadota; Gammaproteobacteria; Enterobacterales; Enterobacteriaceae.